UGAGUACUUCCACUGAACAGAUUCUUUGCCAAAAUCUGAUUUUAAUCCAAAUCAGAUUAUUAUAAUAGUUCUCAGAAUAGAACUGCAAUUCAAAGCAUUUGUAACCUCAGUUUAAAAUAUAUAAAGCAUGCACAACACGUGGUGGGAAUCACAUGAAAAUAAUAGUCAUGGAUUGAACCAUUACUCCACUUUCCACCUUGUUGGAUACUCAGCAGCAAGAUUCUUUCAAAAUCCACUACUGGAAACCCAUACAUAUAUUUGGGAUAGUGGUCAGAAAAAAUAUGGAGUUCAACAGGCUGGGUCCAGAUUCCUCUUAAAAAAAGCUAUAUCCUAAUAUUAUACUUGGAUAUUCCAAGCUAUAAAUUGAAC
RNAcentral lists this long non-coding RNA (369 nucleotides) under Androctonus crassicauda. The record is from RNAcentral. Lineage: Eukaryota; Metazoa; Arthropoda; Arachnida; Scorpiones; Buthidae.